GGUUGAAGGAUGGGGUUGAGGGAUGGGGGUUGAAGGAUAGGGUUGAGGGAUGGGGUUUGUUGAAGGAUGGGGGUUGAAGGAUGGGGUUGAGGGAUGGGGGUUGAAGGAUGGGGUUGAAGGAUGAGGGGUGAAGGAUGGAGGUUGAAGGAUGGGGUUGAAGGAUGGGGUUGAGGGAUAGGGUUGAAGGAUGGGUUGAAGGAUGGGGUUGACGGAUGGGGUUGAGGGAUAGGGGUUGAAGGAUGGGGUUGAAGGAUGGGGUUGAGGGAUAGGGGUUGAAGGAUGGGGUUGAAGGAUGGGGGUUGAAGGAUGGGGUUGAGGGAUGGGGGUUGAAGGAUGGGGUUGAAGGAUCGGAUAGGACGAGGAUUUAAGCGAGCUUUCGUUCAGAGAACGGUGGACGUUCAAUAUAAGUAGCUGGUGUUAAGCAUAUUAAAGAUCCAUAUGAGGUCAAACUCAUGGAUGAGAUGAGACUCAAAGACUCACUCAUCGGUCAAAAGUUAUAAUCAAAGUGAUUUUUAUAGGGUUCUGCGAUGAAAGCUUGGAAUUUAAACACCCACACACGUUAUGCCUCAGAGCAGUGAUGAGAGCAAAUCAAUGUUGGAACAAAACACCUCUCAAACGCACAGAAAACCACAGCUUGAGAACCUGGAUCUCAAAUUCAAUCAUCAAAGGAAAUGGAGCUUGACAACAUAAUGGAAGGAACCGAAGGUGGUAAUUAUACAGUGAAAUUAUUUAAUGUGCCUCUCUAAGAAUCAUAUGCAGCAUUUGAGAGCACGGAUCCAAAAUGAUUGAAUUACCAACUUAUAAUUUCUCUGAUGAGUCAGUGGACGGAGGAAACUCUGUGCUGAAGAAGAAUAAUUUGAUGAUUUAAAGUAAUUGUCGGUUGAGCUCGUCAUCAUAAUUGCAGCCGUUGAGGAUUACAAGGACAAUAGUGUAGAUUAUGACACAUUGAUAAUGACAAAGAUUACCGUCAUCACGUCCUAUACAACAUUAAAAAAAGUGACACAAGAGAGCUAAAAUGAAAGAAUGAAGCGGUUCCUAUUGUCGGCGUGUGUGUGUGUGUGUAACUACAUCGGUUUAGAAAAAGUUACUCCUCAUUUGUUGAAGACCUUCAACGCGUUAAAUGGAUAAACGUCCGUCUUCAAGUUAUCUCAAUUACUGAGGUUUAGGAAACAGAAAGAAAGCCACCCUUGAUGUUCACGUAACACCUUCAAUGAAGCAAGUGUUGUUGCACGAGGGUGACAGGAAGUGAACCCCCAACAACUGUUCUGCUCCGUGUCUGAACCUCCAGUCCGAUCCGUCAGAAUAUGAAAACCGCCAAAGAGCAAAAACUAAAUGAAAAUGAUUGAUUCCUCUUUUUUUAAAUUACUUAAAUCAAUUUCUAUUGAACGACUUAAAACCCACGCGGGCUGACUCAGAGCUGUAGACAUUGAGGCAUAAUGAAUAAUAAAUGACAGGACGAGGGGAUAAUAAUAAAAUGUCAAAGGGAGAAUUCCUGUUGAUUCAGUGAGACCCGGCAGGAAGAAGAAAGGAGGCAGAAUGCGUUUAAAGUUAAUGCAAACGGUGUUGCACAGGAACAGAAGAACAGAGAAUCGCAAGAGAUGAAGGCAGAGAAGAACGACAAGUAAUGAAAAAGAAAGGGAAGGGAUUCACGCAGACGGACGCACCAGGAGAAAAGGCCAGAAGAAGAGAGGCGGCGAAGGCGCCUCGAGCCGGUGAUGCGGCGUCGAGCGCGAGUUCAAUCUCUGGCUGGCUGAGCGGCCGUGGGCCUCCUUCAAGCCGCCGCCGCCGCCUCGUCUCAGGCUCCACGCGCAGCUUUUGCUGGUGAAUAAACGGACACGCUGUCUUUUUUCUCACCGACAUCAACACCCAUGUAAAAAACACACGCACAGAAAGGCCGAUAAACAAACGUCCCGCGACUGUCCCCCGGCAAUGGAAAUGUCUUUUGACCUGGACGUUUGAUUCUGCGCACGGUGAGUCCGCUACUAGAAGCUUAUGAGGUAUAUUUGUGUCUUUACUUUAUUGCAUAAUAAAGACAAAUAUACCUUCAUAGUCUGUGGGCGCCGUCCCUCCAUCUUCUGCUUGAGCGGGUGGGAAAAUGUCUCCAAUGCUCUUCGUUUCUCCCGCUUCCUCUCCCCUCCCCCGUCCACCCUCCUUUAUCCCUCAUUCCCACCGAGGUGCUCCUUCCAUCUCACCCUCUCCCGACAAUAUGCUGGCUCAUCAGCAUUUAAAGGAGCAGGAACUCCAAACUGUGGAGGUGCUGUUUUAAAUGAUCCUUGUGGUAUUUUGACCAAAGCACGAAUGUCACUCAGGCUCCGUUGUUUACUUCUCUUGUGUUUUUUUUUCUCACUUUUAACAAUUUCAUCCGUCCCUUCCUUCCUCCAUCCAUAUUCAGGCAUCAUUUGAUUAAUAAACUGAUAUCAAAUAAAAGACAUGUUUUGGGAAGUAUAACGUUUGGUGGUCUGUGACAAUGACGGUUUGAUCCACUCAUGCAGAAAAGCGAAUGCGCCUGCAGGGAAAAGUAAGAGAGGACAGAAAGAAAGAGGAACAGAACACAUGAAAAAGAGGAGAUGAGAUGAGAUGAGAAUGAAACAGAAGAGAGCAACAGGAGCAUCGCUAACAGAUAUUAUCUGUAUACAUUAUGAAACUCUUUUUAUUCUUUUACCUCACACAGAAAAAAAGACAACAUUACUGUUGACGUUGUAACACACACACACACACACACACACACACACACACACACGCACCGCACAUGCACGCGCGUUCAGGUGUUUUCAACCUGCCUUUUAUUCUUUUGCAGGCAGAAAUAGUAAAAGCUUUUACAUUUCAAUCUGAUUGAAGGUCAAAAUCACACAACCACCCCCCCCCCCCCAAAAAAAAAUAUCCCAUUUCUCUUUUUGAUGUUUGUACAGAAGCUCACAGCAAUAAUUUAAAAAAGUAUAAAUACAUGCAAAGGCGUCCCUGUGUGAGUGUGACGGCCCUGUUUAAGAGAUGACAGCUGCCGCUGUGCACCGGUCUGCUGCGUAAAAGUUGUGACUUUCAAAUGUUAUGUGGUGACUUCUGUUCAUCCAAAGCUAAAUAAAUGAAUACAUUGAAGUACUAGCCCUCUAAAAUGCAGCAUAUUAACAAGGGUCAAUGUAAUUUAACAUGAAAAUGAUAAUUGACCUAUGUUGAAGUCUCUCAGUAACAAUAAUCCUAAAUGAGAUAAAAGCUUUAAAUGUUUUAUAUUCUGGCAGAGUGGCUCCUUAAUGGAAAUGUUUUAUGUCAUUGAUGAGCGCUGACUGAGAUGCAUAUCCGAUGGAUAUCACAAUAACGCGCCUGUGAGAGCGCAACCAGCUGUCUCAGCAGAAGACACAUUUGAGAAAGCAGAUGAGAUGUCUCCUGAGUGACCCAAGACUUCACUGCUGAAGGGAUCAGCGGUAAUAAAGCUUUCAGCCACGUCUUCGUUAUCACGUUGCGACCCGAAGCUGAUGUUGGACUUGUUAGUUGUUGGACGUCCCCGAACAAAGACGCCCGACCACCAGGCAUCUGAGAUUCCGUCCUCGUCGUUGGGUUUUCAUUUGGCAAGGUGUGGGACUAUUGGAGUGGUAUUUUCGUCAUUUCUCUGUUUUGUUGUGAAUGCACACGUGUGUGUACGUUGUGAAGAGGCUCUUUUUGGAAACAGCUUGAUUGUCGGCUGUAAUUAUGUGUGCGAAUGUGCAUGUUAAGCACAGCUGCAGCAUUUACCAAAAGUCUAUUAAACAGCCAGAUGGCCGCUGCUUGUAACGCCCACAAAACAUUUUCCUGCCACGCGCAACGUAAAAAAUCAAACACACCACAGUUUUCGCACACACUCUCGACUCUGUGAAGUGUGUGUUUGGUGUUUACCGGAGGUCAACGAUCCACCCGCAGCAGCAAUUUACAUCUCUUAUCAGUUUGGCUUCUUUCUUUCUUGUUUGAAUUUGCUCCUCAGGGUUUUAUUCUCACUUUUUUGUCACUGACUCACUGAAAGGCGCCGACACACAAACCCACACACACACGCACACACAACGAGGUAGCGAAGCUGCACCCUGUGCACCACGCACGCUUUUAAAAUGACCAGCAGAACAUAACAAAUGGUAUUUCAUCACGUGUCCGGCACCACCUACUGCGCAUUUUAUCAUUAAGGAUUAUUAAGGGCGACCUGAAUAACGUUCAGAUGUUCUUGGCAAAUCUCGUAUCACUAAACAGGUCAAAUCAAACAGAAACAGGACAACAAUGAUCAUAUUCCUCCAAGCCCACUGCGUGUUUCGGUGCACUAUCCAGAUAACGGUGUCUUCGGAGGGGGUGGGGGGUGCGGGAUUCGUCACUUUCUUUGGCCGAUUUGGAACGACACCUUGAGCAGUGAGAUAUUUGGAUUGAAAAUUGGAAACAUGACCUUUUGAAGGGGUCUGAAUGCUGAAUCACAACGUGUGAUAUUUGUUUCUUCGCCGGCACGCGGCCGAGUGAAUCUUGAUGAAUAUCAUUUCUUCGGGGGGGUUUUUAAGGUCAUGAAUUGUUUGAGUGUUACUUCAUCUGUCAGACAGGACUGUGGCGCCUCGGACGAUCGGAUCAGCGGGAACGUUCCGCGCAUGCCGCGAUGCGUCGAUUGGCCCCCGAUGCUCUCAAAUCUCUGUGAAAGGCGCCUCCUUCGAGCCGUCUCUGAGGCACAGACGCUCACCUGCUGCAUGCAUCCAAAACCAGAGAGCGCCUCGCUGAGCCUCGCCGAGCCUCGCCGAGCCUCGCCGUUCAGCGCUUUUGUAGCAAUACACAUUUGGCGCCCCGGACGGCGGUAAUUGACAACAGACCAAAGCACAUUUUCAGCCUAAAUGUGCUAAAAAAAAAAAAAGGCACUUUUCCAAAUGGAGCUCUGUAUUGGUGUAAACACUUUUACCUCACGUGUACCGGCAGGUAUAAACAUGCACACAAAACACACACCAACACACUUAUUUUACACCAUAAACUCUCCCAGAAAAUCGCGCACUGUAAAUACGUCAUACGUAAAAACACUUCACUGCAGAGAGGAAUUGCCCAGAUUUGUAGAGAAGAACAUUUUUAUUAUCUGACAUUUUUGUUGUGAUAUUUCAGUGUGAAUACUCCCCGGUGACCUCUUCUGACCUUUCCCAACAAUGCUGGAAGUUCUUCUGAUGCAGGUGAUACGUUACGAUCCUCCAGUAUUUGCUCCGUGAGUGCUGUCUGAAUAAGUUCUGUUCAUCCAGUGAGAUCUAGGUGGACUUCAGGCCACAUGGAGCUGAAGACAACAAUACAAGAAGUUACCACAUUGAUGAUUCCAAAGCACCCUUUGUGACUACGCAGCUUUAAAUCUGCUAAUAAAAAGCGGUGUCAUUUUAAUCUAAAACAAAGUCGGGUAUAUCUGUCAGCGGAGCGAGUCAACGCAAAACAAAACUAGGUUAGUCUUUGAGAAGUAAAGUGAGAAGCAGAGAGUCAGACGAAGUUAUCUCUAAGCUUUACGCCUGUUGACUUGACUGAUCUCUCGGUUAUGGAGCUGGCAGAUUGAGGUCUGUGUGUGUGUGAAUGUUCUCAACACAUCUCUGAGUCAUGGAUAUCGUAUGAGUCCUGAAGCUAUGGAGAGAUCAGAGACAGAUGGGCGGCACGCAGUCAGCACCGGCCCCGACAACACCUCGGCUUCUGUAUACUGUUGAUUCUGGCGACGAUCAAUCCGAAGAACCACGGGACGCUUUUUCCCGCCAGCUAAAAACCUGCCGCCGCUCUUCUUCAGACGGAAACACACGCUGCAAGUGUCAGACGCACACAAUCCAAAAAUAAAAUCUACCGCGUUAAGCUCAGAAACUGCAAUGUUACAAAUUCUAACGGUGUUUCUAUCUCUGAUGGAAGCUUAUGACUUACGGCUGAAAUGCACAUGUUGCCUGUAGUAAUAAUAGUGGUCUGAAUAGUCCUUUCAGUAGAUGAGUGUCCCAGCCGCAGACUGUGCAUAAGACGUGUUCAGACUGUGCAUAAGACGUGUUCAGACUGUGUAUAAGACGUGUUCAGUCUGUGUUUAAGACGUGUUCAGACUGUGUAUAAGACGUGUUCAGACUGUGUAUAAGACGUGUUCAGACUGUGUAUAAGACGUGUUCAGUCUGUGUUUAAGACGUGUUCAGACUGUGUAUAAGACGUGUUCAGACUGUGUUUAAGACGUGUUCAGUCUGUGUAUCAGACGUGUUCUGUCAUGAGUCAUCAAGUUACCCUACUUCUUUUAUAGCGUCAGCGACCUGUCAAUCACAGUCAAGCCCCGCCCUAAAGCAUACCCAAGAUUAUGGGCUAUUUGACUACUUUAUGCUGUAUUGAAGAAAACUGGAAACUUAACUGAGGUAAUAAACUGAGAGGGAAGUAGAGUAAUUUCUCACAUACAUGCAGAAUACAACAUGGAUGCAUCAUGAGGAUUAUUAAAGAUUAUAAAAGGCUGUUUUAAAGAGUUGAGGAUAACACAGGCAGUCAAUGUCGAGAGACAAGGGGAUGAAACAAUAAUAGAAAACUUUGUAAAGAAAGUUACAGAUUAAUUAAUAGUGUUUUGGGCUCAACUAAGCAAAGCUAAUGGAAACGAUUCCCGUCUUCUUUCUCUCCCACUCUCUUUCGUCUCUCUCCACCCUCUCGCCUCCCUUCUCCCUCCCCCCCUCCUUCCCCUUAUCCUCGUGUCUUCACACAUUCACUUUAAUACGUUCCCCAUCUCUCCCCGUCCAUUUCCUCUCAGCCUUUCUGUCUCCCCCUUUGGCCUCCUUCCCUCCCCUCUUUCCUUCCUUCUCUCCCAUUAGAAACAUAUUGGAGUGACACGGACCAUGAAAUUAAAAUAUUAGUGAGUGACAUCACUGAAUAUUUCCAAUUCUCUGGAAAGAAGGAAUACAUAAAAUAUCGUAUUAAGUGUCGUUAUAGGAAAAGGUCAGCUAGAGGGCAAUGAAAGACUUAAGUAAGAUCAAUAAAGUGUUACAACCUCUUUUUAAUGAAGAAUCUCUGCAAUUGUAGAACUGAACGAUCUUUUAACAAACAUUUUUUCUUUUGAAACAGAACUUUCUUAUUUGUCCACAAGUAUCCAUAUUUCAAGGCUCAACACAUGAAACAACUAAUCUUUGUAGUACUUAUCAGUAAUUCACUUUUACUCCAUUUUCUUCUCAUGUAUUUUAAAGUACCUUUUUUCUACAAUCUGAUGCAAUCCUCAUAGGUUUUUUUCUGCCGUUUUUGUUUGUCUUCUUUGUUUCAUAUUUCCCCUCCAGUGACUAAAAGGGUGUCUUCACCUCAGAGGUAAUUUAAAAAAAUCAAAAACCGUAAAAACGAGUUAAUUAGAUGCGCCUGUGUUCCAUGGGGGUCUUUAAAUCUACAAGUGACCACACCCAAAGGAAACCCUGGACCUCUGCUUCAGCUCAAAGAACUGGUUUCUUUUAUUCAAGUGUGUGUGUGUGUGUGUGUGUGUGUGUCUUUACAGGGUUUUCAUGUGUGGUUGCUUUAGAUGUACGACCAUAAAAAAGGUCAGGACUUCCAUCAAGUUUAUCAUCCAUUCAUUUCCCGGCUGUAAGAUCACCAAAGCGAAUGAAAGAGGCGCAAACAGGAAAUACCGAAGAAAGAAAUACGGGCGGGAAAGAGAAGGAAAUAAAAACAUCAGGAGUGAGAUGGACUUCUCAAGGUCUUCUCUGCAGACUCCCCCCUCAGGGGGAACCGGGCAACACAUGGAAAAUGUUUCUCUCCCUCUCUCCUCCGAGAUAAACCUCCAUCUUCGCCGGUCCUCCUUCACGGACUGAAGUUCUGCUCGAGGCCGGCGCUUAUUAAGCCGCAGGUUCGUUGAGUGGAACCAAUCCGAGACUGAUAUUUGAAUAAUGAUAAUAGCAAAGACCCUUUUUCUACAGAGCACCUUUCACGAAGAAUAAAAAUAUUGAAGUCGAGGGACCAAUUUGAUUCCAACAAAAAAAAUUUCCAUCUUCUGAGGACAACGAUUCCACAAAUUGACAAAUUGAAUGGCAAUCUGGCUAGGAGUUAAAGUGAAAAUUGGAAAUUAUUUUGGUCUUAAGUUAUUUUUCUAUUCCUUAAGUCAUUGUAUUGGUGUUCAUAUUUAGCCUAAUAGAGCCUUUUUGUUUUUACUGCAUUGUUCACAUCAACAUCUCCCUGUUUGUGAAACCCUUCUUUUAUGUCUUACUCCUUAACCCCCGUUUUUCCUCCCCGUGACUCUCCACCCCUUCUGCACAGUGUCCCUGCUCCUCCCUCCCUCCCUCCCUCUCCUCCCCCACUCACCGUUGUCUCAUUUAUUGUCCUUUUAACCCUGAUGGACGCCGUAUGUCGUCGACUCCAUACGUGGGCGGCGCUAUCUGCCUGGCGUCCAUGCGGCCAAUUAGAAAUGGCAGAUGAGUCGAUGAGUCUGUCCUAUGGAGACUGCGGUCGCCCCGGCAACUAUCGCCGCGGCCGACCUCGUCGGGAUACACGCCCCAGCCCAUCGUCUCCUCUCACAUUCAUCGGGGAUCCAGUUAAUGUCAAAGCAGCGCACGAUUGCUCCCGAUCCGCUCCUUCUGUUCAAGCACUCAGAAGUCAUGUCAAGUCCCACCCGCGCUGCGCCGGAGCCAUUGUGUGCAUAACUUCCCUCCAUUUAGUUAUUCCCUUUGUCCCAGCUGGUGAAUAAGCUCCCUUGAUGCAACCCGGACCUGCACCUGCCCUUCUUGUCUUUGUCUUCCUUGUACUCUACUCAAGUACUCUGUUUUGUUCCCCCCUAAUGUCUCCUCAUAAAGCGUGUUUCCCAAACCACUUAACCGACUUAAACUUUUCAUCUUCAGCUUCGAAGGUUGUUUGAGGCAAAUGCAUGCGUUUACAUGUCAACGUUCCCUUUGAGUAUAGCGAUACUCUUUGCACAUGCAUGCGUGCACAUGGAUGUGUGCACACGCGUGUUGCACCGGCUUCGACUCACGGCAUCCCCGAUUCUCUCACUACCACUCAUUAAGGCGGCUGUUCUCUGUGCGAUGCGCUGUGGCUGAUAGACAAUGAAAGGAUGACGUCCUAACAGCGAGACAAACAAAUAAAAAAGAAAAACCACCACUAUGCGCGUGCAACACGCGCUCUUUCAUAUAGUGUAACGCCGAUGAAUGUUGGCAAAGCACUGACAUCACGGUUGAAAGAAGAACCACAGCAUUCUGUCACUGUAGUAUGACGGACACGUUGGUCCGCCUUUGCUUCUGUGAGUCAUUGUACGUACGAAUUCAAAAGAGCUCUAAUCUAAUCAAUAGAGUCAUUUUUAUUAACAAGCUUCUUACAUCAGCCAGAUGAAAAACUCAUCUGGUUGCGAAAUGAAGUCUGAUUGAAUGGAAGUCUGUGAAGCGCGGCGGGUCCUAUUUCUGAAUCAAAGAAAUCAUAAAGCAGGGUACGCUUUUGGGCGGGUCCAGCGCGUGAUUGACAGGACGCCGCAGAAAA
Long non-coding RNA from Gasterosteus aculeatus aculeatus (three-spined stickleback), 9396 nucleotides. Lineage: Eukaryota; Metazoa; Chordata; Actinopteri; Perciformes; Gasterosteidae. The record is from Ensembl.